This 458-nucleotide ribosomal RNA is filed under the name uncultured bacterium. Its description in RNAcentral is "partial 16S ribosomal RNA". It matches the Rfam family "Bacterial small subunit ribosomal RNA", at positions 338 to 795 of the family's 1533-position model. The record is from RNAcentral.
CCUACGGGAGGCUGCCGUGAGGAAUAUUGGUCAAUGGGCGCGAGCCUGACCAGCCAAGUAGCGUGAAGGAUGACUGCCCUACGGGUUGUAAACUUCUUUUAUAAAGGAAUAAAGUGAGGCACGUGUGCCUUUUUGUAUGUAAUUUAUGAAUAAGGAUCGGCUAAAUCCGUGCCAGCCGCCGCGGUAAUACGGAGGAUCCGAGUGUUAUCCGGAUUUAUUGGGUUUAAAGGGAGCGUAGAUGGGUUGUUAAGUCAGUUGUGAAAGUUUGCGGGUCAAACAUAAAAUUGCAAUUUAUACUGGCAGUCUUGAGUACAGUUGAGGUAGGCGGAAUUCGUGGUGUAGCGGUGAAAUGCUUAGAUAUCACGAAGAACUCCGAUUGCGAAGGCAGCUUACUAAACUGCCACUGACAUUGAUGCUCGAAAGUGUGGGUAUCAAACAGGAUUAGAUACCCGAGUAUC